AGAAAAUGUAAACUGCUACUCGGGCCGCAACUGUUUGACGUCAUAACAACAUAAUUAUGAAGCAGGAGACGAUCUUGUAGACGGUCUUGAAGCAGUCAUUGGAAGGACAAACCCUUCAUGCAAACUGCACCUUCUAUCAAGAAGAAGAAGGGCAGAAAUAGUUCAAGAGAGAUGCAUUUUCAGAGACACUCGUGUACAAAACACCUGGAUUAUUCUAUGGACAGAAGUGGUCAGAUAUGGUCUUCUACUAAAUGCUGCCAUCCAGGAGUGAAAGCUGCAUCUAGGUGUAAUGGCCAAAACUUAUGAAUCAGUCACAUCUACAUUUCUGACAUUGUUGGAUUCACAGAGCUGUCUUCAGAAAGAAUGCCCAUUCAGGUAAGGACCACGCAGCAGAAAUGGUUUCCAUGGCUCCGGACCUACUCCAGUGGCUCCGGAGACCCUUCUCCUUCCUUCUGUGCCUGGAGAAAAGAUCCAGAUUAGGAUGGGUGUACACUCUGGGCUGGUGUUGUUGGCAUGAGUGGGGCAGGCACCAGGAUGCCUUGGUACUGCCUAUAGAAUGGAGUCGACCGCACUACUGAGUACAUAAGAUACAAUUGUGGUAUCAACGCCUCUUCAACGCCUAUCAACGUAUCGAUGAUGCCUGCGUCGACCAGGAAGCUUGGUCGACGCAGGAGGCCUGGUUGACGACCGGGCCGUGGGAAUGCUAAGCCCCAGAAGCACCUUAAGGUAAGGU
Procambarus clarkii (red swamp crayfish) is the source of this 733-nucleotide non-coding RNA. Lineage: Eukaryota; Metazoa; Arthropoda; Malacostraca; Decapoda; Cambaridae. The record is from RefSeq and is a predicted model, not a curated record.